AGGUGGGGCCGUUAUGGCGGCGGGAGGGUGGUUUCGCCGGAGCUGUGAGUCCCCCGAGGGUGACAGGGCAUAGAGCGCCCCGCAGAGCCCCUGGUUCGCUGUGAAGAGCCGGUGACACCUCGUGCGAGCAGAGGCACCCGAUGGGUGCGGGAGUGAUACAGCUGCGAGUCAAUAAGGUCAUUAAAGGAAGGUUUAAUGGCGGGAGCGGGUUCCCCGUGGCCACCGGUUGGCGGUCGCUCUGUGAACCCUGGGGUAGAGGCCUCCCAUGAUAAUCUUGCAGACUUGGCUGAUAAGUUGCAAAAAUGCUGCAGAGGAAGAAAUGUCGAUGUUGAAAGCCGAGUGUGAAGCUUGUUCUCAUUCCAUCGCAGUUGGCAGUGUGAUUACUUCAGACAGAUCAGCACAAAGCUACAGCUCAUGUAGCUAAACCCAAGUAACGGGACGACGAGGCUCCUCGGGCUCGAUCUGCCUGGGCUCGGCUGCAAGAAGGCCAGUGUCGGCAUCAGCUGGGGGAAGACCAGCACCAUGUGAUGAGCUGGAGCAACUCAGCAAACUGGAGCUGUUUUUUCAAGAGCAAAAGCUGCAGUGGGAAAACCCAGCGAGGACAGUUGGGCCUUUCUGCUCUUGUGAGGAAGUCCGUGUGUCUCCCCGUGGAAUUACGUGGCAGCAGGAUACAAGCUUCUAGUGUUGGCGCAUCAUUUGGAGAUGAGUAAUUCUUGAUGUUUGAUCGACUCUGAGCUCCGUGUGAGGGCUGAGAAGUUUUGAGUUGGAGCCCGGGAGUAGCCGGUCAGCUUUCAAAUAUUAGGAGCUGAAAAGAGACGUGUCAGCUUCCUGAGUGAAGAAAGGGGGCAGCCGAUGGGAUGUUUGGCCUCGGCUGGUGCUAUCAGCUGCGUGCACGCGUCGUGCUUGGUCGCUGCGGUUUAAAUGUACAAGAGCAAAGAUCAGAGCCCUUCCCCGGCCACGUCUGAGCCAGGCGCCAUCAGAUAAAUGCUCUUUUUCACCCCUGACGCCCACAGCGGAAGGGAGUGGGAGACAAGAUCAGCUGCUCUCCUCUCUCCGCGCCCAUGGGCAAGUAGAGAAGGUGGUGGUCUCCUUUCUUCCUCUCAGCCUUGAAAGAGCAAAGAGUAACCACAAAAAGGGAACACAGCGUGAAGGAGGGGUGAAUAAUCCCAGCAUGAGAUUGUCAUGAACACAGACAGUGCAUCUUAGGGCUACCCUGGCAGCAGAUUUACCCAGAUUGGUGGAUCCGGCCAUUAAAACUGCACUUAUUUCUGAAAAGCCGCCUUUGGUCCUUCCCUAUCUCCCUGCCCCAAGAGCUGAUCCACCAGUGCUCUGCUCAACAAACUUCUCUUUCUCCUCCCUGCAUGCUCCGGGUUUCACUGGGAAGACUCUGUCCUCCUGCCCGUGCUUGUCGGUACCCAGUGCUGCCAGUAUUCUAGAGCUACUGGUCUAAGUCCUGUGCUGGACACAGCCCCAAAGCCUCAUCUGGUUUUAGGUGCCAACAUUUCACUGCUGCCACUGGGAUCCAGAGACCAAAACAUCUUUGGAUUGCUUUAGCCGUAUCUUAUAACGACACCGAAAUAUCACAGAAGAGCUAACCAGGCAUCUCUCAGGAUUUCAUCACCUGCGUCCUACCUGGCUGUCCUCGGUCACCAGCUCAGCAAGUGGGAUAAGACCAGUAGCGUGGUCAAAAUUCCCCUCCCAGCAAAUCAGGGUCGAUGGAGCAGAGCGGAGCGCGAGGCUUGAAAUCGCUGCAGUCGCAGCUUCGGGGUCGGUGCAGCGUUUUUUAUAGAACCCGCUCGGCAGAUUCCGGGCAGGAACAAUUUCCCUACUGUAAAAAUGAGAAAAUGUGAAUAUUUGUUCCUGCGAAACACAUUUUUUCACCAUUGGGACAAGAACUGAGUGUGUAACUUGGCUAAUGUUUAAAAAGGAACUGAAAGUAUUUGAGUUUCGAGUUUUUCAAAUUCACUUUUUGCUAAUUUUAUCAUCUCCGUAAAAGAUUUAUUUCGGUCUUUUUAGCUAUAAAGUUAUUUCUGCUGAUUGUGAAAUUU
Molecule: long non-coding RNA, 2048 nt
Organism: Chroicocephalus ridibundus (black-headed gull)
Lineage: Eukaryota; Metazoa; Chordata; Aves; Charadriiformes; Laridae
Exons: 4
Source: RefSeq, a predicted model, not a curated record